GUGCUCGCUUCGGCAGCACAUACACUAAAAUUGGAAUGAUAGAGAGAAGAUUAUCAUGCCCCCCGCACAAGGAUGGCACACAAAUUCCUGAAACAUUCCAUAUUUUU
Sorex fumeus (smoky shrew) is the source of this 107-nucleotide small nuclear RNA. Lineage: Eukaryota; Metazoa; Chordata; Mammalia; Eulipotyphla; Soricidae. The record is from RefSeq and is a predicted model, not a curated record.